Molecule: ribosomal RNA, 254 nt
Filed under: uncultured bacterium
Lineage: Bacteria
Description: partial 16S ribosomal RNA
Rfam family: Bacterial small subunit ribosomal RNA
Source: RNAcentral
UACAGAGACUGCAAGCGUUAUUCGGAUUCACUGGGCGUAAAGGGUGCGCAGGCGGUCUGUCACGUCUGCCGUGAAAACCCGAGGCUUAACCUCGUGGCUUGCGGUGGAUACGGGCAGACUAGAGGUAGGUAGGGGAGAACGGAAUUCCCGGUGUAGCGGUGAAAUGCGCAGAUAUCAGGAGGAACACCGGUGGCGAAGGCGGUAGUCUGGGCCGGUACUGACGCUGAGGAGCGAAAGCGUGGGGAGCGAACAGG